AGGAGGCAGCAGUGAGGAAUUUUGGACAAUGGGGGCAACCCUGAUCCAGCCAUUCCGCGUGAGUGAAGAAGGCCUUCGGGUUGUAAAGCUCUUUUGUUCGGGACGAAACGGUUUCACCUAAUACGUGGGACUACUGACGGUACCGGAAGAAUAAGCACCGGCUAACUACGUGCCAGCAGCCGCGGUAAUACGUAGGGUGCGAGCGUUAAUCGGAAUUACUGGGCGUAAAGCGUGCGCAGGCGGUUUUGUAAGCCAGAUGUGAAAUCCCCGGGCUCAACCUGGGAAUGGCAUUUGGGACUGCAAGGCUAGAGUAUGGCAGAGGGGACUAGAAUUCCUGGUGUAGCAGUGAAAUGCGUAGAUAUCAGGAGGAAUACCGAUGGCGAAGGCAGGUCCCUGGGCCAAUACUGACGCUCAUGCACGAAAGCGUGGGGAGCAAACAGGAUUAGAUACCCGGGUAGUCC
This 461-nucleotide ribosomal RNA is filed under the name uncultured bacterium. Its description in RNAcentral is "bacterial SSU rRNA". It matches the Rfam family "Bacterial small subunit ribosomal RNA", at positions 343 to 796 of the family's 1533-position model. The record is from RNAcentral.